CACGUAGGGUGCGAGCGUUGUCCGGAAUUAUUGGGCGUAAAGAGCUCGUAGGCGGUGUGUCACGUCGGCCGUGAAAACCUGCAGCUUAACUGUGGGCGUGCGGUCGAUACGGGCAUCACUGGAGUUCGGCAGGGGAGACUGGAAUUCCUGGUGUAGCGGUGAAAUGCGCAGAUAUCAGGAGGAACACCGGUGGCGAAGGCGGGUCUCUGGGCCGAUACUGAUGCUGAGGAGCGAAAGCGUGGGGAGCAAACAGG
RNAcentral lists this ribosomal RNA (254 nucleotides) under uncultured bacterium. RNAcentral's name for it is "partial 16S ribosomal RNA". It matches the Rfam family "Bacterial small subunit ribosomal RNA", at positions 524 to 776 of the family's 1533-position model. The record is from RNAcentral.